Molecule: long non-coding RNA, 365 nt
Filed under: Manihot esculenta (cassava)
Lineage: Eukaryota; Viridiplantae; Streptophyta; Magnoliopsida; Malpighiales; Euphorbiaceae
Description: long non-coding RNA (MESC_LNC012316)
Source: RNAcentral
CCGAAGGUGCUUGAGUUUCGUCUCUGGGGAGGACUUUCGGCCGCCGAACCUGCCGCUGAAAGUGUCCUGUCCAGCUUUCCUUUGCAUGCUUUGCAGGGAUGUUAGAGUGAGUUUAAGGGGAUUCUUGGGGAGUUUCUUAGCAUUGUUCAUAAGCUAGUUUGGUCCCUCAUUUGAGUCCAUCUGUAUAGGUACAGACCAGAGGAACCAGAGAGAGCAGCAGUGAGUUCUGCUCCAGAGUUUUCAGAGCCUGCAGAGUCAGUCCAGAGAGCCAGAGGUGAGUGGAACUAAACUUAAAUCUUUUACUUGCACAAUGGAAUGUUUUAGCAUAUCUCAUGCAUCAUGAUUAUGCCAUAGGUUGAUUGCAU